Molecule: ribosomal RNA, 462 nt
Filed under: Lacticaseibacillus rhamnosus
Lineage: Bacteria; Bacillati; Bacillota; Bacilli; Lactobacillales; Lactobacillaceae
Description: bacterial SSU rRNA
Rfam family: Bacterial small subunit ribosomal RNA
Source: RNAcentral
GAUGAACGCUGGCGGCGUGCCUAAUACAUGCAAGUCGAACGAGUUCUGAUUAUUGAAAGGUGCUUGCAUCUUGAUUUAAUUUUGAACGAGUGGCGGACGGGUGAGUAACACGUGGGUAACCUGCCCUUAAGUGGGGGAUAACAUUUGGAAACAGAUGCUAAUACCGCAUAAAUCCAAGAACCGCAUGGUUCUUGGCUGAAAGAUGGCGUAAGCUAUCGCUUUUGGAUGGACCCGCGGCGUAUUAGCUAGUUGGUGAGGUAACGGCUCACCAAGGCAAUGAUACGUAGCCGAACUGAGAGGUUGAUCGGCCACAUUGGGACUGAGACACGGCCCAAACUCCUACGGGAGGCAGCAGUAGGGAAUCUUCCACAAUGGACGCAAGUCUGAUGGAGCAACGCCGCGUGAGUGAAGAAGGCUUUCGGGUCGUAAAACUCUGUUGUUGGAGAAGAAUGGUCGGCAGAG